RNAcentral lists this ribosomal RNA (253 nucleotides) under uncultured bacterium. RNAcentral's name for it is "partial 16S ribosomal RNA". It matches the Rfam family "Bacterial small subunit ribosomal RNA", at positions 524 to 776 of the family's 1533-position model. The record is from RNAcentral.
UACGGAGGUGGCAAGCGUUGUUCGGAAUUACUGGGCGUAAAGCGCGCGCAGGCGGUCUUCCAAGUCAGUGGUGAAAGCCCGGAGCUCAACUCCGGAACUGCCAUUGAAACUGUUAGACUUGAGGACGAGAGAGGUGAGUGGAAUUCCCAGUGUAGAGGUGAAAUUCGUAGAUAUUGGGAAGAACACCGGUGGCGAAGGCGGCUCACUGGCUCGUAUCUGACGCUCAGGCGCGAUAGCGUGGGGAUCAAACAGG